UGGGGAAUUUUGGACAAUGGGCGAAAGCCUGAUCCAGCAAUGCCGCGUGUGUGAAGAAGGCCUUCGGGUUGUAAAGCACUUUUAUCAGGAGCGAAACGCUGUCGGCUAAUACCCGGCGGAACUGACGGUACCUGAGGAAUAAGCACCGGCUAACUUCGUGCCAGCAGUCGCGGUAAUACGAAGGGUGCAAGCGUUAAUCGGAAUUACUGGGCGUAAAGCGUGCGUAGGCGGUUUCUUAAGUCUGCUGUGAAAUCCCCGGGCUCAACCUGGGAAUGGCAGUGGAUACUGGGAGGCUAGAGUGUGUCAGAGGGUGGUGGAAUUCCCGGUGUAGCGGUGAAAUGCGUAGAGAUCGGGAGGAACAUCAGUGGCGAAGGCGGCCACCUGGGACAACACUGACGCUGAGGCACGAAAGCGUGGGGAGCAAACAGGAUUAGAUACCCUGGUAGUCCACGCCCUAAACGAUGCGAACUGGAUGUUGGUCUCAACUCGGAGAUCAGUGUCGAAGCUAACGCGUUAAGUUCGCCGCCUGGGGAGUACGGUCGCAAGACUGAAACUCAAAUGAAUUGAC
RNAcentral lists this ribosomal RNA (568 nucleotides) under uncultured bacterium. RNAcentral's name for it is "partial 16S ribosomal RNA". It matches the Rfam family "Bacterial small subunit ribosomal RNA", at positions 355 to 914 of the family's 1533-position model. The record is from RNAcentral.